RNAcentral lists this ribosomal RNA (473 nucleotides) under uncultured bacterium. RNAcentral describes it as "SSU rRNA". It matches the Rfam family "Bacterial small subunit ribosomal RNA", at positions 26 to 518 of the family's 1533-position model. The record is from RNAcentral.
AGGACGAACGCUGGCGGCGUGCUUAACACAUGCAAGUCGAGCGGAAAGGCCCUUCGGGGUACUCGAGCGGCGAACGGGUGAGUAACACGUGAGUAACCUGCCCCUAGCUCUGGGAUAGCUCCGGGAAACCGGGAUUAAUACCAGAUACGACCACUUUAGACAUCUGUCGUGGUGGAAAGGAUUCCGGCUAGGGAUGGGCUCGCGGCCUAUCAGCUUGUUGGUGGGGUAACGGCCUACCAAGGCGACGACGGGUAGCCGGCCUGAGAGGGCGACCGGCCACACUGGGACUGAGACACGGCCCAGACUCCUACGGGAGGCAGCAGUGGGGAUAUUGCGCAAUGGGCGAAAGCCUGACGCAGCGACGCCGCGUGGGGGAUGAAGGCCUUCGGGUUGUAAACCCCUUUCAGCAGGGACGAAGCGAAAGUGACGGUACCUGCAGAAGAAGCGCCGGCUAACUACGUGCCAGCAGCCGC